CUCCCCAGGGUCUUCCCACACAGUUUUCUCUGCUGAAAAUACCCGUCCCUUCAUGUCUUCCCCAGCUAAGUCUUACUCAUCCUGUGGGUAUCAUGAGUCCAAAUAACUUGUGGUUUUGCAAAAAUGCUGGGUUAUUUAUGCAACCAUUCCUUGCUAUUUUUUAUCUUUUUUUAUUUGAAAUAGUUUCUCCUCCCCGCCCCACCCGCCACCCAAUAUUGUGUUACUCUGUCUUAAAGAACUCGGUUCAUCAGUGUUCUCAUUCUGAACACUUUCUGAAAGUCUUAAGCUGACGUGGAAAGCCUCCUCUAUGUUCCCAUGGAUUUUCAUCUUCUCUGCCUACUUCGUGCCAGUGAAAGACCCCAGGGAGCCUUUUCCGUGCUGAAUUUCUCCGUACUCGUGAAAGUAUUAGCCAGCCACAUUCAUUCAGUAAACAGUCCGGUAGGAAUGCAGUGCUGCCUUCCCUGGGAAUUUAGUUUUAAAAGUCAGAACUUGGCUUUUAUUGCUCACAAUUAAUUAUGUUCUCCAGUGACCCACAGGACAGAAAUCGUAAGGACCACUUGCUUAAAUGAACUUAUAUUUACAUCUCCUCAGAGUAAAAGUAUUUUGGAUGAAUCUGAGUUUUGCUAGAUUUUAUUUUUUGAGAUUGGAAGACGGAUCUAGAAGGGGAGAAAUGAACUGUUUUGUUUUGCUUAUUAUUGUUUUUGCUUCAAUAACGUCCUACUUCUACGGCUCUUAAGCAAAACUCUCUGCUUGUCCGUGGUAUUCUUCACUGCCUCUGAGCCUACCCGGAGCCCUGCUGAGCAGUCUUCACGGGGUCACAAGGCCGGUGUCUCUUUCUGCCCAUGACAGAGGCCCUGGAGCUUCCUGCAGGAAGAGUUCCUGGGGACAGCAUUUCUCCCAGGGGUGGUGGGAGCGAGCGGUUUUCAUCAGGCAGCCCCACCAUGUGGCUGGUGUUGGCAAAAUGCUCCACCAUAACUGCUUCAGUGACCCCCUUCACUGUCUCCACUACUGAGGAACAAUUAGAACGGACACAAACAAGAACCAGACGCCACAGGAUGAGGACUCAGCACAGAGGAAAUGGUGGGGCCUACUGA
Bos indicus x Bos taurus (hybrid cattle) is the source of this 1094-nucleotide long non-coding RNA. The record is from Ensembl. Lineage: Eukaryota; Metazoa; Chordata; Mammalia; Artiodactyla; Bovidae.